GACGAACGCUGGCGGCGUGCUUAACACAUGCAAGUCGAACGGAAAGGCCCUGCUUUUGUGGGGUGCUCGAGUGGCGAACGGGUGAAUAACACGUGAGUAACCUGCCCUUGACUUUGGGAUAACUUCAGGAAACUGGGGCUAAUACCGGAUAGGAGCUCCUGCUGCAUAGUGGGGGUUGGAAAGUUUCGGCGGUUGGGGAUGGACUCGCGGCUUAUCAGCUUGUUGGUGGGGUAGUGGCUUACCAAGGCUUUGACGGGUAGCCGGCCUGAGAGGGUGACCGGCCACAUUGGGACUGAGAGACGGCCCAGACUCCUACGGGAGGCAGCAGUGGGGAAUAUUGCACAAUGGGCGGAAGCCUGAUGCAGCAACGCCGCGUGCGGGAUGACGGCCUUCGGGUUGUAAACCGCUUUCGCCUGUGACGAAGCGUGAGUGACGGUAAUGGGUAAAGAAGCACCGGCUAACUACGUG
RNAcentral lists this ribosomal RNA (468 nucleotides) under uncultured bacterium. Its description in RNAcentral is "partial 16S ribosomal RNA". It matches the Rfam family "Bacterial small subunit ribosomal RNA", at positions 28 to 507 of the family's 1533-position model. The record is from RNAcentral.